This 452-nucleotide ribosomal RNA is filed under the name uncultured bacterium. Its description in RNAcentral is "partial 16S ribosomal RNA". It matches the Rfam family "Bacterial small subunit ribosomal RNA", at positions 29 to 523 of the family's 1533-position model. The record is from RNAcentral.
AACGAACGCUGGCGGCAUGCCUAACACAUGCAAGUCGAACGAUGUCUUUCGGGGCAUAGUGGCGCACGGGUGCGUAACGCGUGGGAAUCUGCCCUUGGGUUCGGAAUAACCGUUGGAAACGACGGCUAAUACCGGAUGAAGUCGAUAAGACCAAAGAUUUAUCGCCUGUGGAUGAGCCCGCGUAGGAUUAGCUAGUUGGUGUGGUAAGAGCGCACCAAGGCGACGAUCCUUAGCUGGUCUGAGAGGAUGAUCAGCCACACUGGGACUGAGACACGGCCCAGACUCCUACGGGAGGCAGCAGUGGGGAAUAUUGGACAAUGGGCGCAAGCCUGAUCCAGCAAUGCCGCGUGAGUGAUGAAGGCCUUAGGGUUGUAAAGCUCUUUUACCCGGGAUGAUAAUGACAGUACCGGGAGAAUAAGCUCCGGCUAACUCCGUGCCAGCAGCCGCCGUAA